GCGGCGGACGGGUGAGUCCCUUGUGGGCAACCUGCCCUGCAGACUGGGAUAACUUCGGGAAACCGGAGCUAAUACCGGAUAACACCGAAAACCGCAUGGUUUUCGGUUGAAAGGCGGCUUUUACCUGUCACUGCAGGAUGGGCCCGCGGCGCAUUACCUAGUUGGUGAGGUAACGGCUCACCAAGGCAACAAUGCGUACCCAACCUGAAAGGGUGACCGGCCACACUGGGACUGAAACACGGCCCAAACUCCUACGGGAGGCAGCAGUAGGGAAUCUUCCGCAAUGGACAAAAGUCUGACGGAGCAACGCCGCGUGAGCGAAGAAGGUCUUCGGAUCGUAAAGCUCUGUUGUCAGGGAAGAACAAGUGCCGUUCGAACAGGGCGGUACCUUGACGGUACCUGACGAGGAAGCCACGGCUAACUACGUGCCAGCAGCCGCGGUAAUAC
RNAcentral lists this ribosomal RNA (447 nucleotides) under Aeribacillus sp. H01D020. RNAcentral's name for it is "bacterial SSU rRNA". It matches the Rfam family "Bacterial small subunit ribosomal RNA", at positions 95 to 526 of the family's 1533-position model. The record is from RNAcentral. Lineage: Bacteria; Bacillati; Bacillota; Bacilli; Caryophanales; Bacillaceae.